AAACACUGACCAAGGAGUCUUGAAUGUGCGCGAGUCAAAGGGCUGGCUAAACCCCAAGGCGAAACGAAAGUGAUGUUGUUGUUGUGAUUGUGAUUCUUUUCAAGACCACACGCACUGCACACUAGGGCUGAUCCGGUUCGGGGCGCGCGAUAGAGGGAGAUUUUUUUCCUUCGACUCUCCUACCCCGAUUUGUCACCUUAAUAUGUGACCGGCGCAAGCCCGGGGCCCGCACGUCGCUCCUCCCCGUCGCUAAUGCCUAGCCGUAUU
RNAcentral lists this ribosomal RNA (267 nucleotides) under Caeroplastes porphyrivagus. RNAcentral describes it as "partial 28S ribosomal RNA". The record is from RNAcentral. Lineage: Eukaryota; Metazoa; Arthropoda; Malacostraca; Isopoda; Porcellionidae.